Molecule: non-coding RNA, 2453 nt
Organism: Rattus norvegicus (Norway rat)
Lineage: Eukaryota; Metazoa; Chordata; Mammalia; Rodentia; Muridae
Source: RefSeq, a predicted model, not a curated record
ACGCCAACAACACUUUGGGAGAGAAAGGAAAGCAAGAGGAGCUGACGUGAAUGAACCACUCUGCUGGAAUCAACCAGUUCACUGGGGCCAACCCUACAGAGCUGUGCUCGCCGCCUUCACUACACUGACAAGGGCCGGGUGUUCCCUGAGAGGAUAAGGACCGAGGGAGCUGAGGGCUGUGCCCCAGCUCUUGAGGAAAGACACAGGGAAGAUACUAAAACACUCUCCUUCCUGCUCAGGAGGGAUCGGUGUCCCCUGAGGUCAGAGGAGGCACCUUCCGCCUCAGUCAACUCUCAGGCUUGCAGGAGGACCAGUUUCCACAAAUUCCCACUCAUUCCAGAGACCCCGGGAGGAGUCUGUUAUUACUCUGCCCACCUGUGGUGCAGGUCCUCCCCAUUCACGGCCAGGCCUGUUUGAAUAGGAAGCCAGGUGUGGGUGUUAGCAGCUCAUUAAGUUACAACAGCAGGAGGAGAGAAUCCAGGACUCUGGGCCGAGUGCAGCCUGGAGGCUCAACCCCAGCUCCCAUGCUGGCUCCUCUCCACUGCCAAUUUGUCUGGUGGCUUCCUGUCUCCAUCUUAAUUUCUUCCAGUGACAGGAACCCUCUGCCCCGAGCUCCUCUUGACCUACCUCUUGGACGUCUCUGACAAAAAGAAACACUCGACAUUUUUUAAAGUGCAGGUUUUAUUUAUAUAUUUUUUAAAACAUGUUUCAUUCGUGUCUACUAGUUGUACAAAAUAGUAGAACUGUGAACUUUCAAAAGCUGCCGGGCUCUGGACUCCUCCCCACUCCACAAAGUCAACGUUCUAGUCUCUUGAGUCACAGGGAGCAAACGCAGGUCCUCGCCAUGACAGUCCCUCAGGCCCAUGACUCCAUCCAUCUUUCACUGGCUGCGAGACAAAAAGCUCCUGGACCCCUCCUCCUGCCCCUCUUCCAAGCCAGCCACCCCAACGCUCAAGGUGUUCGCUGGACCUAAAACAAUGGGAGUAGAAGAAAGGCCUCCACGGGGCAAAGCUCUCAGACACUCCCAGUGAGGCUAUACUGAGUUCUGGCUCUGGACAUACAGAGGGAAGGCCUGCCUGGGCAGAGCAGUGGGAGCCCAUACCCCCACCCCCAAACCCCUCACUGCCUUAUUUAUCAUUGCCCAGACUCCCAGCCUGGCCUGUCAGCCCAGGCCUGCCCACAGCCUUGGGAGGCAUUGGGGAGGGGAAGAGUUUCAGGUCUGAUGAAAGCCACCGAAACCAGCUCAGAGCUCCCAUGAAAGGAACCCAGAGGAGGCAUGAGUCUGUUUGACUGCUGGGUGGCGGGCGUGACCAGACUCGUCUUCCUCCUGAGGAGAGGGAGACAAAGACGGAGUCAUCCCCAGAGGCAGUGCCUACUGUGCUUCACCACUGCCCCCACACAGCCUCCUUGCCUGGAAGAUGUAACUGGCCUCUCUGAGUCCCCACCAAAGUACCCUGGAAGCACAGGCCACCUGUACUGCACACCGCAGUGUCCUCAAUGUGGAGAAACAGUGUACAGGAUAAGUGGAGGCGGCAGCGUCGAUUCCUGUCUAGACUGGAGUUCUGGAAUCCAGCCGUUCUGAUGAAAGGAUCCAUUAUAGAGACAGGAUAUAAAUCCACCAGGUCAACAAGACCAUAUUCACCUAGGGUUAUUUACACUUCUUUCCACUCUCUGGUUGGUCAUUGCCUGUCCUACUGCCAUCUGCUUUCAAAUUUCAAUGAGAUUACUGAUUGCAUCAAGUAGCCACUCACAGCUGAUUUCAUUUUGAGGGGCCUCACGCUAGGGCGACAUGUUCUCUCCUGAGCCCCUGUAAGGCAUCAGUUCUUUGCUCUGGACUUUAGAGAGUGUUAAGAAACCACCGGAGGCAUUGACACCUGGCAGGGCAGGGUCACCAAGGGUGUGUUAUUAAUUCGAUCUUCCCUGCACCCUUAGGCCCUGCCCAACACCUUUGUGCAGUUAGUCAAGGAUGUGGGAGGGAAGCCAGCUGACAUGGCCCAUUUCUGAACUGCCAGGCUGGGAUCCUUGGUAACUGAAGCAUUCUGUCUAACCAUCAGGGAAGGGCACACACAUCACCGAAGUUCUACUAGAGCAAAAGGUUCCAGACAUCGCUACGAGGCACCACCAAUACCAAGGACUUGGGUUGGGUUUUCUUCAAUCUUGAGUCCUGUGUUCUUAGCUUCGAGAGACUUCUUCACCCGAGUGAUCUCUGCGUGUUUACAGCUUAAGAGCACAGAUCCACUUUCUCUUUGGAGUCCUCUGUGUUCUGUCUCUGCAGGGAGAGACGUGAAUGUCAGCCCUGUUUCUGCAGUUGGACUUAACACAAACAUGUGUUCUUAAAUCUCGAUUCAUUUUCUUUCCCCUUUCCUUCAUUGAAUACCUUUUAUUUGUUUUUGCUUUUAUUGAUACCAGUUUACAUAUAAUCAUAUAUAAUUAUAUAUAUUCUAAUAUAGAAA